GCUACAUUCUGGAGUUCAUAAACACCUCUGAUCAUUGGAAGAGAAUAAGACACACUUUCUGGAAAACAAAAAGCACACACAUACAUAUUAUACAUAAAAGUUGCACUAUAACUUCAGAGUUCGUCUUGAAGCUAUCCCUGGACCCAUACUCAUUGACUCUUUUCAAGUCGUGAUUUUAUUUUUUUAAACAAGAUCAGGUUCCAGUUCAGUUUCUGGAGCAGAUAAGAUUCCAUGAGCUGCAUGAAUCUUGGAGAUUCAGAAGAUGGUCUCAGCCGGCAAGAUUGGUCAUGGCCAUUGGCUUUUUCUGAAGCAGCAGUCCAGCGUCAGUCAUCAGCAAAAUGGUGACAAGAGACAGCUUCACUGGCUUUGUGAUCCCUGGAUCUCAUCUAAAUUGACGUUCUUAAAGUCAGCAGUUUCAGUGAUGGCUCCCUGAUUCUCCACCUUCCUGACUGUGGUAGGAGAGCAGUUCCCCUGCUGGGCUCAUUCUGUCGUGUUGUUCUCGAUGCUAUUUCUGGAAGCCUAACUCAGAGCUUUCCAGUCCUUCCAGGAUUGUGCGAACUCCUUGUUUCCU
Long non-coding RNA from Equus caballus (horse), 571 nucleotides. NCBI's taxonomy places the organism in Eukaryota, Metazoa, Chordata, Mammalia, Perissodactyla, Equidae. The record is from Ensembl.